Molecule: unclassified non-coding RNA, 368 nt
Filed under: rhizosphere metagenome
Description: partial ribosomal RNA internal transcribed spacer region
Source: RNAcentral
GUAGGUGAACCUGCGGAAGGAUCAUUAUCCUUAGCGUAGCGCUCCUAUGAGCACUACAAGCGCGACACGUAUGUGUUUGCGUCACAAUCCGCGCUAGGUCUUCGGGCCUAGCACACCAAAUCCAUGUUAGCUUUAACAUGGUCGGGUACCUAUGCUUGUGCAUUUCGGUGCGCAGCAAAAGCGGCUCCGCUCAUAGAGCCGUGUGGUUUAAAGAUUAUUCUACUCUAUUAGAAUAACGCCCGUAGAAGCAAACGAUCUAUCAUACUACAUGUUAAAUCGCAUUUACUUAGAGUUGUGUCUAGCUACGUUUUGCUCUUUUGCUCAACGUUUAACACUUACACAACCCUAUGCGGUGGAUCACUUGGCUC